Long non-coding RNA from Manis pentadactyla (Chinese pangolin), 3700 nucleotides. RefSeq lists it as uncharacterized. The record is from RefSeq and is a predicted model, not a curated record. The transcript is spliced from 3 exons. NCBI's taxonomy places the organism in Eukaryota, Metazoa, Chordata, Mammalia, Pholidota, Manidae.
GUCCCGGCAUUAGGUUUCCAGGCCUGCAGUAAACUAAUCCUUUCCCUGAAGGCUGCUCCCAGACCUUGGCUCACCACUUUGCUUUUCCAUCUCCUCCUUUUGAUAGGGCUUCUGAUGGGGGCAUUUGGAGAGGACCUGUGGAGAGAGAUUCUUGGGAUCAUUAGGAAAUAUCUUACCCCACAACCCAGGCCUGAUGCAAAUAGAUGGAGUUCUGCCCUGCUGUGAGAAGUUCUAUAGGGAUAAUUGUGGCCAGAUAAGGGAAUCUUUAUAUAGAAGUCCUUUCUGGAUUGGGAACUGAAAUCAUAGGUCUAGGAGCCUGAAGUAACCUUUGUCAUUUUAUUGAUCAGGAAACAGUUGAAACUAAGAGGGAAGUGAUUUGCUAAAGGUAGGACUUGAAUUAGACAUAGAACCAGGAGAAAGUCUAGUCUCUUGACUCUACACCUAGUGUUCCUUGCACAUAUUUGCCUGAACCCAGCCCUUGUUACUAUUCUGUACAUUGUCACAAAGCCUAAAAUACUGUUUAGUUAUCUUUUAAAUGAGCACUGCUGUUUACCUUUUCUUUACUACAAGAAGCCUAAAGUUUUCUUACUUAAACUUAUGGGUACUUGUAGGGUCAGAGUCCAUCACAUUGCCUUACAAGAAUUGACACUAAAAAUGAUCUGUAAUAUUUCUACUCUUGAAUGUGCAAACAGAGACCCCCCUCGAAGCUAAGGUUUGGUGAAUCAUUUUGAUUUAAAUGGGACCUUAUAUUUAACAGGUCUUCCUGUCCAUUAUCGUGUCUGGCUUCUAUUCAAAAACAGCUAUCUUUUCUGGGUUAUUUUUGCAUUCACAGUUCUUGACAGGAAAAUCCUCCCAUCUAAUCUUUGCUUUAUUUCUUUGUUUCAGGAGAUUAUCUAGUGUGUCUAAUAGAGCAACAAGUCACGUCCCGUGGCUCCAGGUCUGCUGUUCCAUAGCAUACCAAAAUCAACCGCAAGACUUCGCCUCCAACCUCACCUAAGUCAAGGACAGAGGUGGGGCUGCUCUCUGUCCUGUGAGGAGGUGGAAUGUAUGACCAAAUGGUUAAAAUGAAAAAGAAAGGGCUUCAUGGUGAAGACGGCCUGGGACUGAGUUUGGAAAGCUCUGUGGAUGGGCUGAGGGGUGGAAGAAGAAGAAUUCCAGAUCGAGAACACAGCACAAGCAAAGGCACAGAGUGCCCCAGGUUUGCAAUGACACGCUCCACUCCUCCAGAAGUUUUCAUCCCUGUGGCACAAAGGCUGGGAAACUUGAGAGAACCAGGCUGUUCUGGAACUAACGUCAGUGCAGAAUCUGCCUAAGCCUUGACUAACGUAUUCUUUGCAUUAUUAAACACAGAUUAAAUAUAUAUGGAUAUUUAAAUGUAAAGUGUUAUUUUCCUAAAUCUAGCUUUACUCGAUGUGUGCUUUGACUUAUGCCUUUUCAUUGCUCAUAAUUGUCUCAGGGAUCAUGAAUUAUAGGCAGGAAGGAGCUGGAGCUCCCUCAGCCCCAAAGGCUUUGCCGUCCCAUUUCAUCUGCCCAGGAGAUGCAGCCCUGGUUCUCCCGCCCAGAAAAUUACUGCCGGGUUUCUUCACAUGGGAAUAUACUUUUUUUCUUAGAGCUUAUUCCUCACCAAUGAUUCAAAGGUUAAGGCAGCCAGACAGAGCCUUACAGACCUGUGAGUUUGUUUCUGUUCUGCAAGAAAGUUUGUGUCUGGGGCAAGUUAUCGAAUAAUAAAUUCGGACAGAGUCUGUGGCUUCCUGCUGGUGACACUUGCACCCACUUUCUGUCAGCUGUGUAGACAGUCACUUGUCCUCUGUGGGUGCUUGGAGGGCCCCAGACAAUUCUGAUUGAUCUUCUUUUUUAGCAAUCUCAUUUAUUUCAGGGUUUCUGUUCAACACCCCAGCCUAAUGGCAGGGAAACUGAAACUAUUAAGGAAAGUGGUGGGUUUGAAGCAGAGGCUCUCUAAGUCAUUCCAUGCCCGUGUGUCCCAGUUCCCUUUCGGUAAGGAGCCAGAUGGGGGGAUGGAUCUGGAGGACCUCCAAGAUUUUUGCAGGCUCUGGUAGUUCACUGUGCUUCUGAGGGGCCAGCGGGGGAAAGACAGAUACUGUUUUCAGUCUCUACUUAGUCAUUUUCCUGCUACCCCUAAAACAUGGUUCCCUCUGGGUCUUAGUUAAAGAUUUCCCACCUGAUGGUAGUCGAUUGAUCAGGAGAUUCUGCCUAUGUAUCCUGCGUUUGUCUGUGUCAGUGUAUUAGACUAUAAGCCAUCGGUGUUCUGCAGUCAGUUCAUUUUAGCUAGCAGGAGCUGAUGGUGCACAUUUCCUCCUGACUCUUCAUGUUGUUACUUCAAAAUCAAUGAUUGUGGGAGUAUUUACACCAUGGAAAUCGGCAAAUGUUAGAAAACAGGGCUUUUUUUUUCUACCCAAAGAGACCGGGUUAGAAUUUGUAAGCACACUGCUGCCCUAAACUCCCUGAGGACACUGAUCAAAUCCCAUAGCUCUCUUGACAUAUUACUAAUCACAUACUGGAGUUUGCUGAAAGCUUUUUAAGGAUGAGCACAGAAGCACAUGUUAAGUCACAGGUCUUUCCCAGUUUUAACAUAAAUAAUUUGUGGUCUCUGGGAUGUGCCCUAGUUUACCAACCUUGCCUCCUUCCUAUAGUAUUAGAUUAUCGGUGUUACAUUUUCUCACUGGGGAGACAUGCUUGAUCCCAACACCCAUGCCUUUCAGGGUGGCUUCUCCCUGUCCUGGGUGAAUCAGGAAUCAAAGGGGUUGUUUAAGGAAGGACACUUCUUUUCCAUCUUCCCCUGGACCCAGGGCAAUUUUUGAUAAUCUCCCUCUUCCGAUAGGAGAGUUACCAGAUGAAAAUGACCUAAGGCUUGUCUGGCAGGGAUGAAAAGGAGCAGAUGUUGGGAUUAUUGAUGAGGAAAAGGGAUAUUUGGCUGGACUGUCUCCAGAAGGCAGGCCACUCGUCAGCUAGACUUGUGAAAACGCCAAAGGAGGAAGCGAAAGACCAUGUUUAAUGUUCACAGCAUGCCAUGUUCACUUUGCCCCACCAUGAGCAGCCCACAGACUCUGAUAUUUUUGCACCUCCUGACUUGGAGGUUCUUAACAAUCACUUGACCUUGAUUGUUCCCCCUUAAAUGCCUCGUCUGAAGCCUGAAACCCCAAUAAGACAGCCAACUAGUGAAUGAUUUUAUUUGACAUCCAUGGUUCUCAAGAUUUGGAAAAUGAAUGCAGCUGGUGGUUGAGGGUGGGGAGGCUGGCAAGCUGGCAAGGGGCUUAGCUUAGCUCCUCCCCAGAACCCUGCUCUAGGCCCUGUGCUUUAGUCAGAGUGGUAGCCAGACCCUCAAAGGAAAAGAGGCGAGUUUUCAAGACGAGAGGACAUAAACAUGACGGAGUUUGGUGCAGGAGGGACGCUGGGCCUCUGUGCAUUGCUGGUUCUGACUCAGGAGCCUUUCAGCAAACAGUGCCUGCAGCCCAGGUAAGCAGGGAGUUAAGGUCUGUGGGGAAUGGAAUUUUCCUUGUGGUCGCACAGACUUGUUUUAACCACAGGAAUGAACGCAAGAUUCAACUUGUUCCCUCAGCUAUUGUCUGGAGCUCUUUUCCCUCCAGCCACUGGCAGCUGGAGGUUUUAAUGUGACAUUUUUCUAAGUAUCAUGAUUGCUUUCUGGCCUUCUCUUGAUAGCUUUUUGCUUCCCUCCUCCCAG